Molecule: long non-coding RNA, 1518 nt
Organism: Lates calcarifer (barramundi perch)
Lineage: Eukaryota; Metazoa; Chordata; Actinopteri; Centropomidae
Exons: 3
Source: RefSeq, a predicted model, not a curated record
GUGUGUUUACCUCCAACAAGCUGGAAAGCUGAGCUGAGGAUGUCGAGGGAGCAGAUGAACAUGUAGAGGAAACCCAGAAGCAGGGCCAACUUUCCCACUGACACCAGCACUCUCAGCACCUUCCCUUUGGUAUCCAGAGCUUUCAGGUCUGUUGGCACAGACUCAGCUGUCUGCCUGACUACUGUCUGGAUCACAUCCAUCAUCAUAUGACCUCUAAUCACAUCAAUAAUACUGAUGAGGAAUGAGGGCAUCAGAGUGAUGAUAGCUCCAGUUGGUUGAUCCUGAGAUUAUUCAUGGGAGAGGAGUGGCAGAGAGGAUGGAUUCCUGGCAAAGGUUUAUCCCGCUAACAGAUAGACCACGUGUGGGUGGUGUGGGGGUGGGGUACAGAAAGUGUGUCGUUCACACUUCCUGUACCGCACCCAUGUGAUUUCACGUAAGUGUGUGUUCUAGUUUUGGAUCACUUUGAUAUAUUUUAUCUCAUAACAGACUAUUGAUUCUCUUAAUACACCCAUUGGUCAAUACUUCAAAAUAUCAGUGAUCUAAGUAUAGACCUAUAAAACUGCUGAUGAUGACUGAGAGAUUUUAGAGGCAAAAAGUCAGCCUGGGACAUACUAAUGCACUAAAUUUCCAUGGAAGUUGUGACCUGACAAAGUUGAGCGAGGACGGGAGAACUCAGCAUCCUAUUUAACAGCUUUUAUCUCUCUGUCUCAGUGACACACACACACAGUCACCACCACUGCACCUUUAGAUCCUUUGUUAAACUUCAUUUAUCCUGUGCAUGUCCCAGUGAGACACCUCCAUGCUUGAUUUCUAUCCCAAUAUACACCCAGCUGCCAUUUUAUUAGGUACACCAACCUUAAAUUAAUAGAGUCUAAUUUAGCAGCCCUAUAAUAAAACUACCAUUAUGAAGGUUAUAAUGUUCAGUUUUUAGUGAAACUGUUUGAGGCUGAUGUUGACUGUAUAGUUUGCAAUCUGUGGUGCUGAUGAAUUGUAUUACAUUAUACCAGGAGGUGUUUUUUUUAUAUUUUGUGCAUCAGUUUUAUACCAAUGAGGCAAAAAUAACAGAAAUGCCUCUCAUUGUAAGACAAUACAUUGUACCUAAUAAACUGGCAACUCAGUGUAUUUUCAUUUAUUGGGGGCUGUGUACAAUGAUAUUUAAAAAAAAAAAAAAAAAUCCAUUAAUUUUCACCAAUACAUAUCAUACCUGAGGGCACUCAGAAGUAACACAACUUUUGAUCACCCCAGGUGACCAUCUGCAGCCCAAUGCCCCCAUAGUGCUGCUGUGAUCAACCCAAGUGCUGGUGUGACCUCAGCUUACCAAACACAAACCUUAACCUUGCAGAGGAGGUGCUCUGUCACGCACACAGUGCUUAUCAGACACAAAUGAUUUUUUGUCUGGUCUCUCCUGUUAUGUCAUGUUGUCAGUUAAACUGAAUGGAUGUUAACUGGGGCAACAAAGGAAAAAAAUGCUACCUCUAUUUUUAGGUUUAUCAAUAAAUGUUAAACUAUUGAUUGUGA